Molecule: ribosomal RNA, 253 nt
Filed under: uncultured bacterium
Lineage: Bacteria
Description: partial 16S ribosomal RNA
Rfam family: Bacterial small subunit ribosomal RNA
Source: RNAcentral
UACGUAGGGUGCAAGCGUUGUCCGGAAUUAUUGGGCGUAAAGAGCUCGUAGGCGGUCUGUCGCGUCUGCUGUGAAAACUCAGGGCUUAACCCUGAGCUUGCAGUGGGUACGGGCAGACUAGAGUGCGGUAGGGGAGACUGGAAUUCCUGGUGUAGCGGUGAAAUGCGCAGAUAUCAGGAGGAACACCGGUGGCGAAGGCGGCAUCCUGGACCGACACUGACACUGAGGAGCGAAAGCCAGGGGAGCAAACGGG